AAUAGAUACCCUGGUAGUCCACCCCGUAAACGUUGGGACUAGUUGUGGGUCCAUUCCACGGAUUCCGUGACGCAGCUAACGCAUUAAGUUCCCCGCCUGGGGAGUACGGCCGCAAGGCUAAAACUCAAAGGAAUUGACGGGGACCCGCACAAGCGGCGGAGCAUGCGGAUUAAUUCGAUGCAACGCGAAGAACCUUACCAAGGCUUGACAUAUAGAGGAAACGGCUGGAAACAGUCGCCCCGCAAGGUCUCUAUACAGGUGGUGCAUGGUUGUCGUCAGCUCGUGUCGUGAGAUGUUGGGUUAAGUCCCGCAACGAGCGCAACCCUCGUUCUAUGUUGCCAGCACGUAAUGGUGGGAACUCAUGGGAUACUGCCGGGGUCAACUCGGAGGAAGGUGGGGAUGACGUCAAAUCAUCAUGCCCCUUAUGUCUUGGGCUUCACGCAUGCUACAAUGGCCGGUACAAAGGGCUGCAAUCCGUAAGGUGAGCGAAUCCCAAAAAGCCGGUCCAGUUCGGAUUGAGGUCUGCAACUCGACCUCAUGAACGG
This 545-nucleotide ribosomal RNA is filed under the name uncultured bacterium. RNAcentral's name for it is "bacterial SSU rRNA". It matches the Rfam family "Bacterial small subunit ribosomal RNA", at positions 777 to 1326 of the family's 1533-position model. The record is from RNAcentral.